Molecule: ribosomal RNA, 468 nt
Filed under: uncultured bacterium
Lineage: Bacteria
Description: partial 16S ribosomal RNA
Rfam family: Bacterial small subunit ribosomal RNA
Source: RNAcentral
GACGAACGCUGGCGGCGUGCUUAACACAUGCAAGUCGAACGGAAAGGCCCUGCUUUUGUGGGGUGCUCGAGUGGCGAACGGGUGAGUAACACGUGAGUAACCUGCCCUUGACUUUGGGAUAACUUCAGGAAACUGGGGCUAAUACCGGAUAGGAGCUCCUGCUGCAUGGUGGGGGUUGGAAAGUUUCGGCGGUUGGGGAUGGACUCGCGGCUUAUCAGCUUGUUGGUGGGGUAGUGGCUUACAAAGGCUUUGACGGGUAGCCGGCCUGAGAGGGUGACCGGCCACAGUGGGACUGAGAUACGGCCCAGACUCCUACGGGAGGCAGCAGUGGGGAAUAUUGCACAAUGGGCGGAAGCCUGAUGCAGCAACGCCGCGUGCGGGAUGACGGCCUUCGGGUUGUAAACCGCUUUCUCCUGUGACGAAGCGUGAGUGACGGUAAUGGGUAAAGAAGCACCGGCUAACUACGUG